RNAcentral lists this ribosomal RNA (428 nucleotides) under Verrucomicrobiota bacterium. RNAcentral describes it as "Verrucomicrobia bacterium partial 16S ribosomal RNA". It matches the Rfam family "Bacterial small subunit ribosomal RNA", at positions 355 to 776 of the family's 1533-position model. The record is from RNAcentral. Lineage: Bacteria; Pseudomonadati; Verrucomicrobiota.
UAGGGAAUCUUCCGCAAUGGACGAAAGUCUGACGGAGCAACGCCGCGUGAGUGAAGAAGGAUUUCGGUUCGUAAAACUCUGUUGUUAGGGAAGAAAAAAUGUAUAGUAACUAUAUACAAAAGAGACGGUACCUAACCAGAAAGCCACGGCUAACUACGUGCCAGCAGCCGCGGUAAUACGUAGGUGGCAAGCGUUGUCCGGAAUUAUUGGGCGUAAAGCGCGCGCAGGUGGUUUAGAAAGUCUGAUGUGAAAGCCCACGGCUCAACCGUGGAGGGUCAUUGGAAACUAAUAAACUUGAGUGCAGGAGAGAAAAGUGGAAUUCUAGUGUAGCGGUGAAAUGCGUAGAGAUUAGGAGGAACACCGGUGGCGAAAGCGGCUUUUUGGCCUGCAACUGACACUGAGGCGCGAAAGCGUGGGGAGCAAACAGG